AUUGAACGCUGGCGGCAUGCCUUACACAUGCAAGUCGAACGGUAACGCGGGGCAACCUGGCGACGAGUGGCGAACGGGUGAGUAAUGCAUCGGAACGUGCCCAGAAGUGGGGGAUAGCCCGGCGAAAGCCGGAUUAAUACCGCAUGAGACCUGAGGGUGAAAGCGGGGGAUCGCAAGACCUCGCGCUUUUGGAGCGGCCGAUGUCAGAUUAGCUAGUUGGUGGGGUAAAGGCCUACCAAGGCGACGAUCUGUAGCUGGUCUGAGAGGACGACCAGCCACACUGGGACUGAGACACGGCCCAGACUCCUACGGGAGGCAGCAGUGGGGAAUUUUGGACAAUGGGCGCAAGUCUGAUCCAGCCAUGCCGCGUGCGGGAAGAAGGCCUUCGGGUUGUAAACCGCUUUUGUCAGGGAAGAAACGCUCUGGGCUAAUACCCUGGGGUAAUGACGGUACCUGAAGAAUAAGCACCGGCUAACUACGUG
This 482-nucleotide ribosomal RNA is filed under the name uncultured bacterium. RNAcentral's name for it is "partial 16S ribosomal RNA". It matches the Rfam family "Bacterial small subunit ribosomal RNA", at positions 29 to 507 of the family's 1533-position model. The record is from RNAcentral.